GGCUUAGAGUUUGAUCAUGGCUCAGGAUAAACGCUGGCGGCGCACAUAAGACAUGCAAGUCGAACGAACUUAACCUAUAGUUUACUAUUGGAGCGGUUAGUGGCGGACUGGUGAGUAACGCGUAAGCAAUCUGCCUAUCAGAGGGGAAUAACAGUGAGAAAUCACUGCUAAUACCGCAUAAGCUGUGAGUAUCGCAUGAUACAAGCAGAAAAGGAGCAAUCCGCUGAUAGAUGAGCUUGCGUCUGAUUAGUUAGUUGGCGAGGUAACGGCCCACCAAGACGAUGAUCAGUAGCCGGACUGAGAGGUUGAACGGCCACAUUGGGACUGAGAUACGGCCCAGACUCCUACGGGAGGCAGCAGUCGGGAAUAUCGCGCAAUGGAGGAAACUCUGACGCAGUGACGCCGCGUGCAGGAAGUAGGUUUUCGGAUUGUAAACUGCUUUAGACAGGGAAGAAGAAGUGACAGUACCUGUAGAAUAAGCUCCGGCUAACUACGUGCCAGCAGCCGCGGUAAUACGUAGGGAGCGAGCGUUAUCCGGAUUUAUUGGGUGUAAAGGGUGCGUAGAUGGAUAUGCAAGUUGGUUGUGAAAUACCUCGGCUUAACUGAGGAACUGCAACCAAAACUGUAAAUCUUGAGUACUGGAGGGGAAAGCG
Molecule: ribosomal RNA, 653 nt
Filed under: uncultured bacterium
Lineage: Bacteria
Description: bacterial SSU rRNA
Rfam family: Bacterial small subunit ribosomal RNA
Source: RNAcentral